ACUCAAAGGAAUUGACGGGGGCUCGCACAAGCGGUGGAGCAUGUGGUUCAAUUCGAAGCAACGCGAAGAACCUUACCCGGGCUUGACAUGUACGUAGUAGGAACCUGAAAGGGGGACGACCCGUAGAGUCGGGAGCGUACACAGGUGUUGCAUGGCUGUCGUCAGCUCGUGUCGUGAGAUGUCGGGUUAAGUCCCAUAACGAGCGAAACCCUUGUCCUUAGUUGCCAACGGGUCAUGCCGGGGACUCUAAGGAGACUGCCCGUGUUAAACGGGAGGAAGGCGGGGAUGACGUCAAGUCAUCAUGGCCCUUAUGUCCGGGGCGACACACGUGCCACAAUGGAGGGUACAAAGGGUUGCCAACCCGCAAGGGGGAGCCAAUCCCAAAAAGCCCUUCUCAGUUCGGAUUGCAGGCUGCAAUUCGCCUGCAUGAAGCUGGAAUCGCUAGUAAUCGCGGAUCAGCUACGCCGCGGUGAAUAUGUUCCCGAGCCUUGUACACACCGCCCGU
RNAcentral lists this ribosomal RNA (505 nucleotides) under uncultured bacterium. Its description in RNAcentral is "partial 16S ribosomal RNA". It matches the Rfam family "Bacterial small subunit ribosomal RNA", at positions 899 to 1397 of the family's 1533-position model. The record is from RNAcentral.